This 2189-nucleotide ribosomal RNA is filed under the name Acinetobacter towneri DSM 14962 = CIP 107472. Its description in RNAcentral is "bacterial LSU rRNA". It matches the Rfam family "Bacterial large subunit ribosomal RNA", at positions 756 to 2925 of the family's 2925-position model. The record is from RNAcentral. Lineage: Bacteria; Pseudomonadati; Pseudomonadota; Gammaproteobacteria; Moraxellales; Moraxellaceae.
GUAACACUAACUGGAGGACCGAACCCACUGUCGUUGAAAAGCCAGGGGAUGACUUGUGGAUAGGGGUGAAAGGCUAAUCAAACUCGGUGAUAGCUGGUUCUCCCCGAAAGCUAUUUAGGUAGCGCCUCGGACGAAUACCAUUGGGGGUAGAGCACUGUUUCGGCUAGGGGGUCAUCCCGACUUACCAAACCGAUGCAAACUCCGAAUACCUAUGAGUACUAUCCGGGAGACAGACUGCGGGUGCUAACGUCCGUAGUCAAGAGGAAAACAAUCCAGACCGCCAGCUAAGGCCCCAAAAUCAUAGUUAAGUGGGAAACGAUGUGGGAAGGCAUAGACAGCUAGGAGGUUGGCUUAGAAGCAGCCACCCUUUAAAGAAAGCGUAAUAGCUCACUAGUCGAGUCGGCCUGCGCGGAAGAUGUAACGGGGCUAAAACUAUGUGCCGAAGCUGCGGAUUUGACAUUAGUCAAGUGGUAGGGGAGCGUUCUGUAAGCCGAAGAAGGUGGAUUGAGAAGUCUGCUGGAGGUAUCAGAAGUGCGAAUGCUGACGUGAGUAACGACAAAACGGGUGAAAAACCCGUUCGCUGAAAGACCAAGGGUUCCAGUCCAACGUUAAUCGGGGCUGGGUGAGUCGACCCCUAAGGCGAGGCCGAGAGGCGUAGUCGAUGGGAAAUUGGUUAAUAUUCCAAUACUUCAGUGUAAUGCGAUGAGAGGACGGAGAAGGUUAAGUCAGCCUGGCGUUGGUUGUCCAGGUGAAAGGAAGUAGGCAUGCAUCUUAGGCAAAUCCGGGGUGCUCUAUGCUGAGAUCUGAUAGCAAGCUGUACUUGUACAGUGAAGUGGCUGAUACCCUGCUUCCAGGAAAAGUCUCUAAGCUUCAGUUACACUGGAAUCGUACCCGAAACCGACACAGGUGGUCAGGUCGAGUAGACCAAAGCGCUUGAGAGAACUCUGCUGAAGGAACUAGGCAAAAUGGUACCGUAACUUCGGGAGAAGGUACGCUGUUGAUGGUGAUAGGACUCGCUCCUUGAGCUGUCGACAGCCUCAGAAACCAGGCCGCUGCAACUGUUUAUUAAAAACAUAGCACUCUGCAAACACGAAAGUGGACGUAUAGGGUGUGAUGCCUGCCCGGUGCUGGAAGGUUAAUUGAUGGGGUUAGCGUAAGCGAAGCUCUUGAUCGAAGCCCCAGUAAACGGCGGCCGUAACUAUAACGGUCCUAAGGUAGCGAAAUUCCUUGUCGGGUAAGUUCCGACCUGCACGAAUGGCAUAAUGAUGGCGGCGCUGUCUCCAGCAGAGGCUCAGUGAAAUCGAAUUCGCCGUGAAGAUGCGGUGUACCCGCGGCUAGACGGAAAGACCCCGUGAACCUUUACUGCAGCUUGACAUUGAACUUUGACCUUACUUGUGUAGGAUAGGUGGGAGGCUUUGAAACUUGGACGCUAGUCCGAGUGGAGCCGUCCUUGAAAUACCACCCUGGUAAUGUUGAGGUUCUAACUCUGUCCCGUUAUCCGGGACGAGGACCAUGUCUGGUGGGUAGUUUGACUGGGGCGGUCUCCUCCUAAAGAGUAACGGAGGAGUACGAAGGUGCGCUCAGCGUGGUCGGAAAUCACGCGUAGAGUAUAAAGGCAAAAGCGCGCUUAACUGCGAGACCCACAAGUCGAGCAGGUACGAAAGUAGGUCUUAGUGAUCCGGUGGUUCUGUAUGGAAGGGCCAUCGCUCAACGGAUAAAAGGUACUCUGGGGAUAACAGGCUGAUACCGCCCAAGAGUUCAUAUCGACGGCGGUGUUUGGCACCUCGAUGUCGGCUCAUCUCAUCCUGGGGCUGAAGCAGGUCCCAAGGGUAUGGCUGUUCGCCAUUUAAAGAGGUACGCGAGCUGGGUUUAGAACGUCGUGAGACAGUUCGGUCCCUAUCUACCGUGGGCGCUGGAAAUUUGAGAGGAUCUGCUCCUAGUACGAGAGGACCAGAGUGGACGAACCUCUGGUGUACCGGUUGUGACGCCAGUCGCAUCGCCGGGUAGCUAUGUUCGGAAGGGAUAACCGCUGAAAGCAUCUAAGCGGGAAGCCUACCUCAAGAUAAGAUUUCCCCGAGGCUUUAUGCCUCCUAAAGAGCCGUUGAAGACUACGACGUUGAUAGGUUGGAUGUGGAAGCAUAGCGAUAUGUGAAGCUGACCAAUACUAAUUGCUCGUGAGGCUUGACUAU